RNAcentral lists this ribosomal RNA (1948 nucleotides) under human gut metagenome. Its description in RNAcentral is "bacterial LSU rRNA". It matches the Rfam family "Bacterial large subunit ribosomal RNA", at positions 3 to 1980 of the family's 2925-position model. The record is from RNAcentral.
UUAAGUUACUAAGGGCGUACAGUGGAUGCCUUGGCACCGAAAGACGAUGAAGGACGCGACUACCUGCGAUAAUCCUCGGCGAGCUGGAAGUAAGCUUUGACCCGAGGGUCUCCGAAUGGGGAAACCCGAUGCGCGUUAUGGCGCACCACCUGACCGGCCAAUACAUAACCGGCAGGAGACAACCCUGGGAAUUGAAACAUCUAAGUACCAGGAGGAAAAGAAAGAGAAUUCGAUUCCGUCAGUAGCGGCGAGCGAAAGCGGAAGAGCCUAAACCACCUUGAGUGGGGUUCGGGAUCACAUCAGUAUAAGUAGACACAAGGAGAAUUACCUGGAAUGGUAAGCCAAAGAGGGUGAAAGCCCCGUACCUGUAAAAAAGCUACUUGUCGUGAUUUCCAGAGUACGGCGGGACACGUGAAAUCCUGUCGGAAUGUGCGGAGACCACUCCGUAAGGCUAAAUACUCUUCGGUGACCGAUAGUGAACCAGUACCGUGAGGGAAAGGUGAAAAGAACCCCGGGAGGGGAGUGAAAAGAAUCUGAAACCGUAUGCCUACAAAAAGUCAGAGGGCGUUAAAGCCUGAUGACGUGCCUAUUGAAGAAUGAGCCGGCGAGUUAUGAACACAUGCGAGGUUAAGGAGAAGAUCCGGAGCCGAAGCGAAAGCGAGUCUUAACAGGGCGACAGUAUGUGUUUGUAGACCCGAAACCCGACGAUCUAGCCAUGAUCAGGAUGAAGUAAGGGUAAAACCUUAUGGAGGUCCGAACCGACGUUCGUUGAAACGCCCGCGGAUGAAUUGUGGCUCGUGGUGAAAUUCCAAUCGAGUCGGGUAAUAGCUGGUUCUCCCCGAAAUAGCUUUAGGGCUAGCCUUGGGACAUUGUUUAGUGGGGGUAAAGCACUGAAUAUGAGCGAGCCGCGCCAAGCGGUAUCAAUCAUAAUCAAACUCUGAAUCCCAUUAGAUGUACCCCAGGAGUCAGACUACGGGAGAUAAGUUCCGUGGUCAAGAGGGCAACAGCCCAGACCGCCGAUUAAGGUCCCUAAAUUCACGCUAAGUGUCAAAGGAUGUAGAGAUACUCAAACAGCUAGGAUGUUGGCUCAGAGGCAGCCAUCAUUUAAAGAAUGCGUAACAGCUCACUAGUCAAGUGUCUCCGCGCCGAAAAUUUACCGGGGCUAAGCGUGAUACCGAAAUCGCGGAUGAAUCCUAAAAAUUCGUGGUAGGGGAGCGUUCUGUUUGCAGCGAAGCCAUAUCGUGAGGAGUGGUGGAGCGUACAGAAGCGAGAAUGCCGGCGUAAGUAACGAUAAAGGGUGAGAAUCCCUUUCACCAAUUGACUAAGGUUUCCUGGGCAAGGUUCGUCCUCCCAGGGUUAGUCGGGACCUAAGGCGAGGCCGACAGGCGUAGUCGAUGGACAGCAGGUUGAUAUUCCUGCACCCGAGCACGCAGUGAUGCAAUGACGAAAACGGCUAUGCUCACCUCCGAUCGGAAGUGGAGGGCAGAGCGUAGGAGUCGAUUCCUUGUUAAGUACGGGAAUCAUUAAGACAAAGACGUGCGGUAUGAAAGUCGCGAGACGAGUAAGAAACAGCAGACGCCGAUUUCCAAGAAAAGUUGCUAACGUUAAACGUGUUCGGCCCGUACCGAGAACGGACACACGUGGUCAAGGAGAAUAUCCUGAGGUGAGCGAGAUAACUGUUGUUAAGGAACUCUGCAAAAUAACUUCGUAAGUUAGCAAGAAGAAGUGCUCCAGCGAUGGAGCCGCAGCGAAUCGGCCCAAGUAACUGUUUACCAAAAACACAGCUCUAUGCUAAGUCGCAAGACGAUGUAUAUGGGGUGACGCCUGCCCGGUGCCGGAAGGUUAAAAGGAGAGGUUAGGAGCAAUCCGAAGCUUUGAAUUGAAGCCCCGGUGAACGGCGGCCGUAACUAUAACGGUCCUAAGGUAGCGAAAUUCCUUGUCGGGUAAG